GUACUCUCUCUCCUCUUGCCCUUCUGUCUCCUGACAUUGCUUCUCAUUGGCUGAACCCAACUGGAGGCCACAGUCAGGAGAUCAGGGUGGAGAGUGGAUCUGGGAAGUCAAAUAGGGAAUUGACAGCGCAGUUUAUUUUUUGGCAUCUUAUCCUUUCUGUGCAUACACAAAAGAAAAACUGUAAGGUAAAUGAAUUGGUUGAAGAAUUCCUAGAACGUCUUCAUCUUCAGAGUAUUUUUUUUUUCUCAUACCGUCAUCUUCUGUGCCAUCAAGGACACAAGUCCAGGUGCAGCAUUCUAUAGGAGAUGUUCCACUAGGGUCUCUGCACCCAAGCCACUGACACUCACUCCUGCAAAGUUUGAUGCUGGGCCUUUUAAACCCUCUCCUCCUUUUUUAAUCAUGGUGAAAUAUAUGCAACACAAAAUUUACCAUUUUAAGCAUUUUUGUAUGUACAUUUCAGUGACAUUAGUCCAAAUUUCACAUUAUUAGCUGUAUGCCCAUCACCACCAUCCAUUUGCAGAAUUUGUUCAGCUCCUCAAACUGAAACUUUGUACCCUUUCAAUGGUAAUUCCCCAGGGAUGCCUGGGUUAUUUUGAACUCAUCAGAAGAGGCCAACAAAAGAUUAUCAGACUGGAUUUCUGCAAAGGUAGAACAUGUCAGUGACAUGGUGCCACCUGGCUGACAGCACUUACAAGGCAUUACUAGUUGUGAGAUGCAUCCUAAUUUCAGAGAUGUUAAAAUGUUGGGAAAAUAUGUUGCUUAGAAUCAAUGAAAUAUAAAUCCUUUAACAGCAGAUCUCACAGCCAGUAUUCUGUGAAUGGGUUUCAGAUGGGCCAAAAACUUGUUCUUUUCUGUCCUCAGGGAAGCCAAGCAGGACCUAAGGCAACUGGAAUCCUUAGGAUGAAAAAUGUUGGCUUUGAGUGCUAUUAUCCGUUUACCCCAAUGUGCCUUAAAAUAUUAUCAUUUUCUGCGUGUAAUGUGAUCUGAAAAAGACUAGGAAGCACAGCUCUGGCGGAUCUCCAUCUUUAGUCUGGCCAGAUUUCUAGAUUUAUAUUUAACUCAAUAUUAUCCGUGUACAUCUGUAGGCAGGAGGUACUGAUGAGAGAACUGUUCAAAUAUGCUUCACCUAAUGUAACAGUAAAGCUGGCAUCUCAAGCUCUUGAGGGCCCUUCUGCAUCAGGCUAGGAGAAGCACAAACCUUUGAGUACCCAACACAGGAAAAAUCCGUACCUACCUUCUGCACUGCAGUUCCAUUUGUACUGCUUAGUACAGUCUUGGCACUGACUGAAAGGAAAAAGAACUUACUUUACAAGAAGCUCAGAGGUUGGGAAACUCCAGGGCUGAUUAAUUUAGCAGCUUAACAGUGCAUUAAGGACCAACGGUUUCCAGAUCUCUUCCCGUUAUUCUCGGCUUCUCUGCCUCAUUCUCUGACUAGGUUUUCUCAUGAGUGUGGCGGCUGAAUCAACUCCCAGCAUGAUGCCCUCACAGAAUGUCCCUCUGUCUCUUGUUUUCUCAAGACUUCCCGGCACUUUCUGAGAUUUCCCACUGGGUCAAAUUGAGUUGGAUGUCCAGGUGUUAACCAGUCACUAGCAGGGGGAAUAGCCUAGAUCAAUCAGGACUGAAGUCUGAGUCCCGAGGAGUUAGGGUGGACCCUGAACCAAGUCAAAUCUAUUUGCAAAGAAGAGGUGGGGGACUGUCCCUUGGGUAGGCAAGAAAACAUCUGCUGACCCACUUUGAGGGCGCAGUCUUAGAAAACUGCAUCUCCAUGGCAAUUGUACACUCAUUACAGUAUUGCCUUUAAAGGCAAAAAUUUAGAAUUAAUCAGGAAGUCCAUCAAUAGAAGACUAGUUAAAUGAAUUAUGAUACAGCCAUAUGAUGAGAUAUGUAAUAGAAAAGAAUGAGAUAGAUAUAUGUGCAACCAACAUGCAAGGUGAAUGAGACUUAAGUUUUCAAUAAAGAUAGUGUUGGAGAAUAAUAAAUGGGAUUCAAUCCCAUUUUGAUCACUCUGUACAUAUAAACUCAAAAUAGAAAUAAAAUCUGGGUGCUAUGAAGGGGAUUAAUAAGGGUAGAGUGGCUGAGAUAGGAAUUUUCACUUAAAAGGUUACACAUUUUUGGGGCUGGAAUGUAGCUCAGUGGUAGAACACUUGCCCACUAUGAAUGAGGCCCUCGAUUCAAUCCCUGGUACUGGGCAGUGGGGUAGAAGUAUGCACUUUUGAUUGCUUGACUUUUUAACAAAUUGUUUAUUACUUUGUAAUUAAAAAAUAAGUUUGUCUCAUGGGUAGAAGGCAAAUAGAAAAUAACAUAUUACUAUUAAUGAGAUCAUAAUACUCCCAACAUUAUAGCUACAUAUAUAAAAACAUCAACCCCAAAUUUAUUACUGCCUUUUUUGAAUCACUUGCCUACACUGGGUGCACCUACUCUCUGGUAGUUAACAGAGCAGUCUCUUCAGCUGGGCUGUCUGAAACAGCAGCGUCUAACCACAUGUCGCUAUUUUAAGUUUAUUAAAAUAAAAUUAAAAAUUCAAGCUAGGCAUGGUGGCACAUGCUUGUAAUCCCAGUGGCUCAGGAGGCGGAGGCAGGAGGGUCACAAGUUAGAGGCCAUCCUUAGCAGUUUAGCAAGGCCCUAAGUAAUUCAGCAAGACCCUGUCUCAAAAAAUAAAAAAGGGCUGGGGAGGGAGCCCAGUAGUUAAGUGCCCCUGGGUUCAAUUCCUAGUGGGGCUGGGUGGGAGAAGAAGUACUAAAAAAGAAAGAAAGAAAAAAUUCAUUUCCUCAGUUGCACUAGGUACAUUCAGGUGCUCAACAGCCACACAGAACUAGUGGCUGCCAUGUCAUACAGUGUGGAUUAUAGAACAUUCCCACCAUUGUAGAAAGACCAGCUGGUUGGCAGGUUCCAAGCCUAACAGCUUGAGUUCAAGCAUAGGCUUAGUUUCUUGGUAAUUAGGUGUCUUUGGACAAGAUAUUUAACCUCUUUGUUUUGUAGCUUUCUAGUUAUUAAAACAGGGAUAAUGAGAGUAUAUAGUACACAGAAAUGUUGAAUAGAUUAAAAUUCUUGCUUAGUGCCUUGCUCAUGGUAAAUCAAUAAAGUUAACUGGCAUAUUGUGAGGAACUAUGAUUUGGAAAUGGUUUGUCCCUGAAAAGUUUAUGUGAUGGAAAUUUGGUCCCCAAUGUAAUGUCAUUGAUAGGUGGUGAGACCCUUAAGAGGUAGGGCCUAGUGGAAGGUAAUUAGGUCCUGGGGCACAGCCCUCAUGAAUGAAUUAAUGCCUUUCUCAAGAAACUGGGUUAUGUCUCUUGAGACUGGAAUAAGCCUCUCAAAACUGGAUAAGUAUAUGCAGGAUGGAUUGUUAUAAAGUAGGUGGGCCCUUCCUCUUUCUCUUUUUGCACACGUGCUCCUCUUGUACAAACCCACUUCUUUUUCACUUCUCUGCCAUGUUGUAGGCGGCAACAAGGCCCUCACCAGAAGCUGAGCAGAUACUGGCACUGUGUUCUUGGACUUUCCCACUUCCAGAACUGAGCCAAAAUAAACCUCUUUUAUUUACAACUUAUCCAGUUUCAGGUAUUUUGUUAUAGCAACAGUAAAUGGGCUAAGACAGAAACCUUUCCCAAUAUUGAUUUAGCAUUUACUAAAUCCAGCACCACUGUUUUGCUAAAUAAGGAAUGACAAGUUGAAACAAGGAUGACAAGUGAAAUAAAACUUCCCUGUCUCAUGAGAAGAGUCAAGGGAGGGAGUAAGCCAGGACUGGUUCCAAGGCUUAUAUUCCUUGAUGUUUACAAAUGACAUUUGGGAUGGGGGAGUUGAAUAAUUAACCCUUCCUCUGGAGGCCCCUGCCUCCUGCCCUGCUCCUCCCUCUAUGAACAAGAGCUGACUGGUUCAAAAGAACUAUACAACUUCAGAUUUCUGAUUAACUUUCUUUUUGAUGGUGGAGGGACUGGGAGAUUAGAGGACAAUCAUUCACCCAAUUUUCUGUGCUGUGUGAAUUUUCCCAUUUUCUUCUUGUGGAUUUUCUAAAAGUUGAAUAGCUGCCUUUAAAGGAAGCCACUUUUGACCAAAUUAAGGAAGGAGAGCUCUUGCCAGAGGAUGCAACAGGAAGAGGCGAUUAUCUUGAGAAGCUUCUAAUCAAAGUUAAAAAUCAUCCUGUGUCUCUGCUUGAAGGUUCAGUGUGUGCACAUAUCCCUUGCUUGGGGCUGGGAGGCCUACAGGAAAGGACACGGUCACAUCACCGGGGUGGUUCAGGAAAAGAGGGGGCAACAGUGUCUUUGGUUCUGCAAUUGGGGGGACUUAUAUCUGCCAGGCACUUCUGAGCUGGACCUAGGUUGGUCUUCACUGGUAUAAAUGGCAUCUUAAUUAGAGUUUCUUUAGAAUCCUUUUCCUGAUUUUUUUUUUUUGAUAGCUUCUUGCAGUCAAAAGAUGUGCUUAAUCCGGGAAGGGGACUGUGAGCCCCCUGCAGUGGUACUGAUAAGGAACUGUGCUGAUAAGAUCUUGCUUUGUGCUUCAUUUUUAAAAAUUUUUAUUUAUUUAUUUUUUCAUUGUUCAGUCUUUUUUUUUAAUUAGUUACACAUGACAGUACAAUGAUCUUGACAAUUCAUACAUUUGAAUCAAAUGGGGUAUAAUUUCUCAUUUUUCUGAUUGUACAGGUUGCAGAAUCACAUUGGUCGUACAGCAUUUUUUAAAAAAUGUAUAUUUUUUAUUUUUAUAUCACAGUGGAAUGCAUUACAUUCUUAUUACACAUAUAGGACACAAUUUUUCAUACCUCUGGUUCUAUACAUGCUUCAUUUCUUAAGUUACAAUUCCAGUUGGCUAUUGUUGAGCUGAUGUGCUAUGAAAAAUGCCCCUUAAGCUUUUCAGUAUUUCUAAGCUCUGAGAGAGAGAGAGAGAGAGAGAGAGAGAGAGAGGUGUGUGUGUGUGUGUGUGUGUGUGUUAGGGAAGAGGAAAGACGACUAGUGCAGCUUUUUUUUUUUUUUAAGAGAGAGAGAGAGAAUUUUUUAACAUUUAUUUUUUAGUUAUCGGCGGACACAACAUCUUUGUUUGUAUGUGAUGCUGAGGAUCGAACCCGGGCCACACGCACGCCAGGCGAGUGCGCUACCACUUGAGCCAUAUCCCCAGCCCCAGUGCAGCUUUUGAAGGGUCACUGAGAACUGGUUUGUUAGGGUGCUGGGAUGUCCUGACUGGGGAUUAGAGUAAAGGAAGAUGGGCAUGCAGGUCCAGAGUGGGCUGUUCGGCCAUCAAAUGCCAACAGGUGAUCAGGAUUCCUCCGAACUUCGUGAAAACUGAAAAAUGAAUUCAGUUUGUUUUUCUAGCUUCCACGUGGUUACUCUAAUAUCAUCUGAGACACUUCACAAUUAAUGGAUUGUGGAUAAUUUACAUUGAAAAAAAUUGUAUUUGAUUAUAAAACCAGAAAAUACUAUGAGACUUUUACACUCUUGUAUCAUUUCUUUCCCUCCAAUUCAAAUCACAAGGUUUCCUUUUGUUUCUGAAAUAGGAUUUUUUUUGGUGGGGACACCGUACCAGGGAUUGAACUCAGGGGCACUCGAC
Molecule: long non-coding RNA, 5529 nt
Filed under: Marmota monax (woodchuck)
Lineage: Eukaryota; Metazoa; Chordata; Mammalia; Rodentia; Sciuridae
Source: RNAcentral